AUUGAACGCUGGCGGCAGGCCUAACACAUGCCAGUCGAGCGGAUGAAGGGAGCUUGCUCCUGGAUUCAGCGGCGGACGGGUGAGUAAUGCCUAGGAAUCUGCCUGGUAGUGGGGGAUAACGUCCGGAAACGGGCGCUAAUACCGCAUACGUCCUGAGGGAGAAAGUGGGGGAUCUUCGGACCUCACGCUAUCAGAUGAGCCUAGGUCGGAUUAGCUAGUUGGUGGGGUAAAGGCCUACCAAGGCGACGAUCCGUAACUGGUCUGAGAGGAUGAUCAGUCACACUGGAACUGAGACACGGUCCAGACUCCUACGGGAGGCAGCAGUGGGGAAUAUUGGACAAUGGGCGAAAGCCUGAUCCAGCCAUGCCGCGUGUGUGGAGAAGGUCUUCGGAUUGUAAAGCACUUUAAGUUGGGAGGAAGGGCAGUAAGUUAAUACCUUGCUGUUUUGACGGUACCAACAGAAUAAGCACCGGCUAACUUCGUG
RNAcentral lists this ribosomal RNA (484 nucleotides) under uncultured bacterium. Its description in RNAcentral is "partial 16S ribosomal RNA". It matches the Rfam family "Bacterial small subunit ribosomal RNA", at positions 30 to 507 of the family's 1533-position model. The record is from RNAcentral.